This 179-nucleotide small nuclear RNA is filed under the name Chelydra serpentina (North American snapping turtle). RNAcentral's name for it is "U2 spliceosomal RNA (ENSCSRG00000001079.1)". It matches the Rfam family "U2 spliceosomal RNA". Rfam says of the family: U2 is a small nuclear RNA (snRNA) component of the spliceosome (involved in pre-mRNA splicing). Complementary binding between U2 snRNA (in an area lying towards the 5' end but 3' to hairpin I) and the branchpoint sequence (BPS) of the intron results the bulging out of an unpaired adenosine, on the BPS, which initiates a nucleophilic attack at the intronic 5' splice site, thus starting the first of two transesterification reactions that mediate splicing. Lineage: Eukaryota; Metazoa; Chordata; Testudines; Chelydridae. The record is from Rfam by way of RNAcentral.
UUAUUUUUUAAAUAUUCUCUAAUAAAAUUUUAAAUCUGUUCUUAUCAGUUUAAUAUCUGAUAUGUCCUCUAUCUGAGGACUAUAUAUUAAAUGGAUUUUUGGAACAGGGAGAUGGAAUAGGAGCUUGCUCCAUCCACUCCACACAUCAACCUGGUAAGGUACGGGGGGAGGGAUAGCUC